RNAcentral lists this ribosomal RNA (407 nucleotides) under uncultured bacterium. RNAcentral's name for it is "partial 16S ribosomal RNA". It matches the Rfam family "Bacterial small subunit ribosomal RNA", at positions 28 to 526 of the family's 1533-position model. The record is from RNAcentral.
GACGAACGCUGGCGGCGUGCCUAAUACAUGCAAGUAGGACGCAGUUGCGAACGGGUGAGUAACGCGUAGGUAACUACCUAUUAGAGGGGGAUAACUAUUGGAAACGAUAGCUAAUACCCCAUACUCGUAGAUGGACCUUCGUUGUAUUAGCUAGUAGGUAGGGUAAUGGCCUACCAAGGCAACGAUACAUAGCCGAGCUUGUAGGGUGAUCGGCCACACUGGGACUGAGCCACGGCCCGGACUCCUACGGGAGGCAGCAGUAGGGAAUCUUCGGCAAUGGGGGGAACCCUGACCGAGCAACGCCGCGUGAGUGAAGAAGGUUUUCGGAUCGUAAAACUCUGUUGUUAGAGAAGCGGUAUCUAACCAGAAAGCCACGGCUAACUACGUGCCAGCAGGCGCGGUAAUAG